This 419-nucleotide long non-coding RNA is filed under the name Capsella rubella. RNAcentral describes it as "long non-coding RNA (CRUB_LNC003339)". The record is from RNAcentral. Lineage: Eukaryota; Viridiplantae; Streptophyta; Magnoliopsida; Brassicales; Brassicaceae.
CAAUUAGUUUUUUUUUUUAUAUAAUUAAAAAUCUGAUAAACAUUGUAAGAAUCAUAUACAAACCUCCGCUUUGUCGACAUAAACGUAGGGCCUUUCUCCAUUUUAUUUUGUUGUUUCUUUUGGUUGCAGAGAGAGAGACGACCAAACCUUAAAACUUUGCGUUAGUCAGAUGUCAAAGUAUCGAAUCCGAUUGUUUGGUCAAAAAAUCUUUACAUCUACAUAAACUAGUAUUGUAAGGCUUGUAGUUAUGUAUAACAUUUAAUUAUAACUACUGGGAUUGACAAUUAAUAACAUAAUCAUCAUUUUUUUUUUUUUUUUAAUAUUUGUUAUUAUGGGAGAUUUGUAUUUGUGUAUUACAUUACGUAUAAAAUUAUGGGAGUACUUCCGAACCUCUUUUGUCCAAAAGGUCCUACCUGAAA